UAAUCAUUUGUAACACGCCUCACCGGGACUAAACAGCGUGUCUAAAAAACAGUCUCUAAUAUCCACUCGCAAGGGUAGAGUGGAGAUACUACUACCU
This 97-nucleotide non-coding RNA is filed under the name unclassified sequences. RNAcentral's name for it is "PhotoRC-II RNA". It matches the Rfam family "PhotoRC-II RNA". The record is from RNAcentral.